RNAcentral lists this ribosomal RNA (549 nucleotides) under uncultured bacterium. Its description in RNAcentral is "bacterial SSU rRNA". It matches the Rfam family "Bacterial small subunit ribosomal RNA", at positions 356 to 896 of the family's 1533-position model. The record is from RNAcentral.
AGGGAAUCUUCGGCAAUGGACGGAAGUCUGACCGAGCAACGCCGCGUGAGUGAAGAAGGUUUUCGGAUCGUAAAGCUCUGUUGUAAGAGAAGAACGAGUGUGAGAGUGGAAAGUUCACACUGUGACGGUAUCUUACCAGAAAGGGACGGCUAACUACGUGCCAGCAGCCGCGGUAAUACGUAGGUCCCGAGCGUUGUCCGGAUUUAUUGGGCGUAAAGCGAGCGCAGGCGGUUAGAUAAGUCUGAAGUUAAAGGCUGUGGCUUAACCAUAGUACGCUUUGGAAACUGUUUAACUUGAGUGCAAGAGGGGAGAGUGGAAUUCCAUGUGUAGCGAUGAAAUGCGUAGAUAUAUGGAGGAACACCGGUGGCGAAAGCGGCUCUCUGGCUUGUAACUGACGCUGAGGCUCGAAAGCGUGGGGAGCAAACAGGAUUAGAUACCCUGGUAGUCCACGCCGUAAACGAUGAGUGCUAGGUGUUAGACCCUUUCCGGGGUUUAGUGCCGCAGCUAACGCAUUAAGCACUCCGCCUGGGGAGUACGACCGCAAGGUUG